GCCUAUUUGGCUCAGUCGGUAGAGCAUGCAACUCUUGAUCUCGGGGUUGUGAGUUCGAGCCCCACACUGGGUG
RNAcentral lists this transfer RNA (73 nucleotides) under Ailuropoda melanoleuca (giant panda). It matches the Rfam family "tRNA". Rfam says of the family: Transfer RNA (tRNA) molecules are approximately 80 nucleotides in length. The record is from Rfam by way of RNAcentral. Lineage: Eukaryota; Metazoa; Chordata; Mammalia; Carnivora; Ursidae.